GCAUCUCCACUAAAAUAGUGUUUGGUAGGAAAUGGAGCCAAAUCCAAUAGAUUAGUAGGAUUCUGACCAUAAAUAGUUGCAAAAGGACUACAACUAGUGCUUUGACUUAUGGAUUGAUUAUAAGCAAAUUCAGCAUGUGCUGGCAAAAGAUCCCACUCACAAAUAUUCAUUUUCACCAAACUUCUCAAGAGAUAGCCCA
Molecule: long non-coding RNA, 199 nt
Filed under: Elaeis guineensis (African oil palm)
Lineage: Eukaryota; Viridiplantae; Streptophyta; Magnoliopsida; Arecales; Arecaceae
Description: long non-coding RNA (EGUI_LNC043680)
Source: RNAcentral